AGAGUUUGAUCCUGGCUCAGAUUGAACGCUGGCGGCAUGCUUUACACAUGCAAGUCGAACGGCAGCGGGGGCUUCGGCCUGCCGGCGAGUGGCGAACGGGUGAGUAAUGCAUCGGAACGUGCCCAUGUCGUGGGGGAUAACGUAUCGAAAGGUACGCUAAUACCGCAUACGUCCUGAGGGAGAAAGCGGGGGAUCGCAAGACCUCGCGCGAUUGGAGCGGCCGAUGUCGGAUUAGCUAGUAGGUGAGGUAAAGGCUCACCUAGGCGACGAUCCGUAGCGGGUCUGAGAGGAUGAUCCGCCACACUGGGACUGAGACACGGCCCAGACUCCUACGGGAGGCAGCAGUGGGGAAUUUUGGACAAUGGGCGCAAGCCUGAUCCAGCCAUGCCGCGUGAGCGAAGAAGGCCUUCGGGUUGUAAAGCUCUUUCGGCCGGGAAGAAAUCGUGUUCUCUAACAUAGGACAUGGAUGACGGUACCGGACUAAGAAGCACCGGCUAACUACGUGCCAGCAGCCGCGGUAAUACGUAGGGUGCGAGCGUUAAUCGGAAUUACUGGGCGUAAAGCGUGCGCAGGCGGUUUUGUAAGACAGAUGUGAAAUCCCCGGGCUUAACCUGGGAACUGCGUUUGUGACUGCAAGGCUAGAGUACGGCAGANGGGGGGUGGAAUUCCUGGUGUAGCAGUGAAAUGCGUANAUAUCANGAGGAACACCGAUGGCGAAGGCAGCCCCCUGGGCCUGUACUGACGCUCAUGCACNAAAGCGUGGGGAGCAAACAGGAUUANAUACCCUGGUA
RNAcentral lists this ribosomal RNA (791 nucleotides) under uncultured bacterium. Its description in RNAcentral is "bacterial SSU rRNA". It matches the Rfam family "Bacterial small subunit ribosomal RNA", at positions 8 to 792 of the family's 1533-position model. The record is from RNAcentral.